Molecule: ribosomal RNA, 372 nt
Filed under: uncultured organism
Description: partial 16S ribosomal RNA
Rfam family: Bacterial small subunit ribosomal RNA
Source: RNAcentral
GUAGGUGGCAAGCGUUGUCCGGAAUUAUUGGGCGUAAAGCGCGCGCAGGCGGUUCUUUAAGUCUGAUGUGAAAGCCCACGGCUCAACCGUGGAGGGUCAUUGGAAACUGGAGAACUUGAGUACAGAAGAGGAAAGCGGAAUUCCACGUGUAGCGGUGAAAUGCGUAGAGAUGUGGAGGAACACCAGUGGCGAAGGCGGCUUUCUGGUCUGUAACUGACGCUGAGGCGCGAAAGCGUGGGGAGCAAACAGGAUUAGAUACCCUGGUAGUCCACGCCGUAAACGAUGAGUGCUAAGUGUUAGGGGGUUUCCGCCCCCCUUAGUGCUGCAGCUAACGCAUUAAGCACUCCGCCUGGGAAUACGGCCGCAAGGCUG